Non-coding RNA from Chrysemys picta bellii (western painted turtle), 1982 nucleotides. NCBI's taxonomy places the organism in Eukaryota, Metazoa, Chordata, Testudines, Emydidae. The record is from RefSeq and is a predicted model, not a curated record.
CAUGAGAAAAACUGGGAAAGGAUGUGUCCCAUUUACAAUGAUACUGAGGUUAUAGAGGAGUUUUUGUCUACCUUUGAACACCUCUGCAAUCUGUACCAGAUCCCCGAGGGUCAGUGAAUGCCUGUCCUGCUGACCAGACUGACUGGAAAAGCCAGGGAGGCAGCAAAGGAAACGGUGGGGGGCCAUAGGUCCUGUCACAUGGCCCUGAGGCGCUAUCAGUAACUCAUCAGCCCAGCUGAGGGCUGUUAUCACAGCACAACAGGCAGCUGAGAGCAUCCCAGGAGGGAGACCGGUCCUGCUGGGGUCCUGGAGGCGAGAGCAGCGGUUCUGGGAGGGAGCACAGAGCCUGCCAGGGACCUGCCAGCUCUGGAAGUCUCUGGAUGAGGUUGAGGGUACGGUGGCCUUCUCCAGCGCCCAGUCCACACCUCUGGGGCUGUGCAGGUGGCAGUUCUGGCAUGUACCCCACGGGGCCCCACCCCGUCUCCCUUGUGAUCGGAGAGUGCUUGGGGCCAGUGUGUGUCUCAGACUGUGGGGUGAGCAGGGGAGCUAAUCCUGCGGUGUAACCCCAAGACAGACCCAUCUCUGCUGAGCCUUCUGUCUGCCCUGCUGCUCCAGCUCCAGGAAGGGAACCAAACUACAGCCGAGCCUGUGGCCAUUAGCCUCUGAGAGGCCAGGGGCUGGGAGUCAGGGCGGUAGGGCCAGACCCCAGUGCCUGGGAAGGGGGGGACGAGGGUUGGCCCAGCACCGGGCGUGGGGGUAGGCGGGGAGUGCAGGGCUCCUGUGACCCUCUCUCCCCCCAGCACACUCUGUACAGGGAUUGCAGACCCUCCCUGAGACUCUCGUACAUCCAGUUCCACUGACUCUUCCAGCGGACGCUGCUGUUGGGCCUGAUCCUGGUGUCGGCCUCCUUGGGCUACGUCCUCGCAAGGUGCGCGAGGGCAUCCCCAGGCGGCUCCUGGGCAGGGCACUGCUCCGGGGACAUCAGUGGGGAGCAGGCAGCGCCCACCUCUUGCCCAUCACCACCCCUGCAGCUCUGCUCUCAGACACCACGGACAGGUCCCUUCCUCCAGGGCCUGCAGCCUCUUUGCCAACUACACAGCUGCCUGGCAGGUGGUGGCAGAGGCUGUGUCAACCCACCUGCCCCCCUCAGCCCAGCUCGGCCUACAAUAUGCCAGGUCCGAUGCCUUCUGCUUCCCACGUCUCAUCAUGCUCAGGUACAGGCCCAGUUUGGGGCCAUAAGGACCCGGGCUAUAGGGUCGGGUUGAGGUCAGGGCCUGGGUUGGAGGCGACAUGGCCCAAGUGCAGUCUAGAGUCAAGGGCAGGAAUAGCAUCCGCAGCAGGGUCUUGCCGUAGGAUCAGGUCGCAGUCGAGGUCGAUGAGCCGCACCAGUUUGGAGCCCAGGAGCCCGCUGAAGUAGCGUUCGUGGAAGAGAAGCAGGGCGUCAGGUGUGGAGCCGGGAGCAAGGCCAGGUGUCGGGAGUGUGCAGCAGGGUCUGUUAGCAGCAGCAGCACGCGGCGAUCUGCCUAGUUGCACAGACAGCCUCCAGGUGUUUCCUCUAGCCCUUAAAUCGCACACCUGGGCCAGUCAAGGCACGCGCUAGGCUCCGUCAGCCAUGGCCUCUGUGGGCAGGACAUCCAGUGCUGCUCUGCCCCAUGACAGUCACGGUCCAUGCUCGCUGCUCUGCUGGGGGUGGCGUGGAUACAGCAGUCGCUCAGGGACCAGCAGACCAGGCCUGUAUUGGUGGGUGGGGACCCCUCUGGGGACAUGUAGGCUCCUGUUGUCCCUUAGCUCUGGAAACUGGUGUGCUUUCAGUUGUCCAGAAAGGACACCCCUGCCUCAACCCUGAUCCACCCUUCGAACCCCUCGGUCCCAGCCCAGAGCACCCUCCUACACCCCAAACUCCUCAUCCCCAGGCUCACCCCAGAGCCCGCACCCCCAGAUGGAGCAUUCAUGGCCCACUAUACAAUUUCUAUUCCCAGAUG